RNAcentral lists this long non-coding RNA (525 nucleotides) under Vulpes vulpes (red fox). RNAcentral describes it as "lncRNA (ENSVVUG00000030037.1)". The record is from RNAcentral. Lineage: Eukaryota; Metazoa; Chordata; Mammalia; Carnivora; Canidae.
GGGAAGGGGCAGGACAGGUGAAGUUUACCACAGGAGCCAAGGCCUUGAACCCACCAGCAAGGGUUCUUGCUGGAACUCGCAGUAUCUCAUCAUGGUUAGAUGGUGAGAUCUCGCCUGAGGAGAGUGGGGUGGCAGCAGGAGACAGCUCACAAAAGGAACUCCACAAUGUUUGUUUCUGAUGCUCCUGGGGCUGUUGUUAUUCCUGACAGACUCAGAGGGCCAUCCACAAGAACUAGGAUUACCGUGAGGAAUGCAAAAGUCUGGUAGUUUCCCAGGCCGUGGGCGUGAGGCUAUCAUGAGAACUUCUCCAAUGUUGAUAGAGAAACAGAAUCACACAAGUGAAAUGAUCUGCCUGGGGUCUCUAAAGCUGAUUAGCAGCGCAGCCAGAAUUAGAAUCGCCUACUUUGGAGGUCAUUUCUCCAUGCCACCUGCCUGGUAGAGGAAUGUCUGCUGGGUGCUUAGGUUCAUCAAAAAUCCACAAUUUUAGAAUCUCAAAAAUAAAGAUACUAAAUUUUGGAAAAAGCA